AUCUCUUGUAUUUCGUCAUUGAUUUCAAUUUCUCAGGUUUUUUCAUGUUUUCAUUCAUUGAUCAUGACUCGUUUGGGAUUCUAGGGUUUGGAUAAGAAUUUUUUUAGGUUUUCACUGCAAAUUCAUGCAAGAAUUGAGUCUAAUUGGAAAAUUUGGAUCAUCUGUUUGCCCAGCAUAUGUUCUUGUGAUCAUAUUUGAUGUAAAUUCAGUGAGACAUGUUCUUGGGGUGUGGAUUUUAGUUUUUCACUGCAAAUGCAUUCAAGAAUUGAGUUUAAUUCGAGAAUUUGGUACUCUAUGUUCCCGACCUGUGUUCUUGUGAUCAUGUUUGAUAUGAAAUUCCCUGAAACAUGCUCUCCAGGGUCCUGAUUUUGGUUUUGUUUAUUUAUGCGUUUGAAUUUCUAAUUUUCUAUGAAUCAAUUUUUAAAUGUGUUGAUUAAUUUUUUAAGUAGAAUAUGAUCAUUGAGCAUUAAUAGUAUAUCAUGCCAUAGUUCUAGUUUUGUAUUAUCCGUUGAUGAAUUGGAAGUUGUGUUAGUUGUGCCUUGGGUGAAUGAGAAAACAAAAGCAUGAAUAAUUGACUUUGAGAAUCGAAACCUUAGACUUAUUUGUGCUUUGGAAGAUAAUGGUUCAGAGAUGAAGUUGAUGAUAAAAUUGAUGUGAAUGGUGGUGAUCAUGAUAGCAUACUUGACAAUGAAGAAAUGGGGCAGGAUUACAGUGAGAGGAUUCGUAGAUGAAUAUGUAGAUAGAUAAUGCAGGUAUGAUGGUGAGGAGUAUGAAAUGUGUGCAAUGUGGAUGCGGCCAAUAAGAGGGAUGAGGGAUGAACAGAACCUUCUGAAUGAUAAUGUUGACAGGAGGAAGUGCAUAGAGUUGCUAUCUCUUUGGCUUCAUGACUUCAUGGUUCUCAAGUAACUAUUUCUGGAUGUCUACAUGACUCACAAUAGAGGAUUUGUGAGGGCUUUGUGAAAGCUUUUGGUGAAUUUUUUGUGGUUACAGUAGAUUUGUCACUCAGCUCCUGUUUUGAUAUGUAUGUUUUGUCUGUCAAUAUUUAGUCUGUAUGUUGUGGUAAUGAGCAGGAGAGGAUGAUGAAGGAUAAGGGGAGAGGAGAAUGUGAGGGAUGCAACCCAAAAGGCUAGUUAAGAGGUCCAUGGCAAAUAAUUCAAGUGCAUAUGAGGAGAUUAAGCUUGAGAUUAAGCUUAUACAUCUUCUCACCUGCGAUGUAGUAAAGAACUACUUGUGGUAGGAAGACUUAAAAAGUACAAGCCCAGCUAUCGAGAUUUGCAGGAUUGUACAACAACAAGAAUGUUGUAAGCUCAUUAUCCUGCCAGUGGUGUUGAUGCAAAGAACGCCAGAGCACCAACCAUUGGUGCAUUUAUCUAUCUUUAUUAUCAGGGCCGCCUAAAACAGCACCGGUGAGGAUGUUUGGGUUCGGUGAGCUUGAGUAGAGGUAUGAGAAGCCUUCAUUACAGGAGAUGUGGCUUGGGUGAGCAUGCACAGAAGGAAUUGAAGAGCCCCGG
This is a long non-coding RNA of Dioscorea cayenensis subsp. rotundata (Guinea yam), 1511 nucleotides long. RefSeq lists it as uncharacterized. The transcript has 3 exons. NCBI's taxonomy places the organism in Eukaryota, Viridiplantae, Streptophyta, Magnoliopsida, Dioscoreales, Dioscoreaceae. The record is from RefSeq and is a predicted model, not a curated record.